Molecule: non-coding RNA, 107 nt
Organism: Podarcis lilfordi (Lilford's wall lizard)
Lineage: Eukaryota; Metazoa; Chordata; Lepidosauria; Squamata; Lacertidae
Source: the annotation of a GenBank genome assembly
UCCCGACGAACGUUGGCUCGGUUUUGUCCCUUUUAGCCUUUUGCCGCCCUGCAGAAUUUGAGGCCUGCAGGCUAAAAGGGAAACAACUGAGUCAACGCUCGGCGGGA